RNAcentral lists this ribosomal RNA (305 nucleotides) under uncultured bacterium. Its description in RNAcentral is "bacterial SSU rRNA". It matches the Rfam family "Bacterial small subunit ribosomal RNA", at positions 338 to 659 of the family's 1533-position model. The record is from RNAcentral.
CCUACGGGGGGCAGCAGUGGGGAAUAUUGCACAAUGGGGGGAACCCUGAUGCAGCGACGCCGCGUGAGUGAAGAAGUAUUUCGGUAUGUAAAGCUCUGUCAGCAGGGAAGAAGAAAGACGGUACCUGACCAAGAAGCCCCGGCUAACUACGUGCCAGCAGCCGCGGUAAUACGUAGGGGGCAAGCGUUAUCCGGAUUUACUGGGUGUAAAGGGAGCGUAGACGGCAGGGCAAGUCUGGAGUGAAAGGCAGGGGCCCAACCCCUGGACUGCUCUGGAAACUGUCCGGCUGGAGUGCAGGAGAGGUA